ACGCUGGCGGCGUGCCUAAUACAUGCAAGUAGAACGCUGAAGAGAGGAGCUUGCUCUUCUUGGAUGAGUUGCGAACGGGUGAGUAACGCGUAGGUAACCUGCCUUGUAGCGGGGGAUAACUAUUGGAAACGAUAGCUAAUACCGCAUAACAAUGGGUGACUCAUGUCAUUUAUUUGAAAGGGGCAAAUGCUCCACUACAAGAUGGACCUGCGUUGUAUUAGCUAGUAGGUGAGGUAACGGCUCACCUAGGCGACGAUACAUAGCCGACCUGAGAGGGUGAUCGGCCACACUGGGACUGAGACACGGCCCAGACUCCUACGGGAGGCAGCAGUAGGGAAUCUUCGGCAAUGGGGGCAACCCUGACCGAGCAACGCCGCGUGAGUGAAGAAGGUUUUCGGAUCGUAAAGCUCUGUUGUAAGUCAAGAACGAGUGUGAGAGUGGAAAGUUCACACUGUGACGGUAGCUUACCAGAAAGGGACGGCUAACUACGUGCCAGCAGCCGCGGUAAUACGUAGGUCCCGAGCGUUGUCCGGAUUUAUUGGGCGUAAAGCGAGCGCAGGCGGUUUGAUAAGUCUGAAGUUAAAGGCUGUGGCUCAACCAUAGUUCGCUUUGGAAACUGUCAAACUUGAGUGCAGAAGGGGAGGGUGGAAUUCCAUGUGUAGCGGUGAAAUGCGUAGAUAUAUGGAGGAACACCGGUGGCGAAAGCGGCUCUCUGGUCUGUAACUGACGCUGAGGCUCGAAAGCGUGGGGAGCGGACAGGAUUAGAUACCCUGGUAGUCCACGCCGUAAACGAUGAGUGCUAGGUGUUGGAUCCUUUCCGGGAUUCAGUGCCGCAGCUAACGCAUUAAGCACUCCGCCUGGGGAGUACGACCGCAAGGUUGAAACUCAAAGGAAUUGACGGGGGCCCGCACAA
RNAcentral lists this ribosomal RNA (913 nucleotides) under uncultured bacterium. RNAcentral's name for it is "bacterial SSU rRNA". It matches the Rfam family "Bacterial small subunit ribosomal RNA", at positions 33 to 928 of the family's 1533-position model. The record is from RNAcentral.